AGAGUUUGAUCAUGGCUCAGAAUCAACGCUGGCGGCGCGCUUAACACAUGCAAGUCGAACGAGAAAGGGGAGCAAUCCCUGAGUAAAGUGGCGUACGGGUGAGUAACACGUGGAUGAUCUACCUCUUUGUGGGGGAUAACCUUGGGAAACCGGGGCUAAUACCGCAUAAGCCUGAAAAGGGAAAGGAGCAAUUCGCAGAGAGAGGAGUCCGCGGCUGAUUAGCUAGUUGGUGAGGUAACGGCCCACCAAGGCAAUGAUCGGUAGCCGGCCUGAGAGGGCACACGGCCACACUGGCACUGAAACACGGGCCAGACUCCUACGGGAGGCAGCAGUGGGGAAUCUUGCACAAUGGGGGCAACCCUGAUGCAGCGACGCCGCGUGAGCGAUGAAGCCCUUCGGGGUGUAAAGCUCUUUCGACGGGAACGAUAAUGACGGUACCCGGAGAAGAAGCUGCGGCUAACUACGUGCCAGCAGCCGCGGUAAUACGUAGGCAGCAAGCGUUGUUCGGAGUUACUGGGCGUAAAGGGUGCGUAGGCGGUCCUGUAAGUUUGGUGUGAAAUCUCCCGGCUCAACUGGGAGGGUGCGCCGAAGACUGCAGGGCUUGAGUAUGGGAGAGGUAAGCGGAAUUCCUGGUGUAGCGGUGAAAUGCGUAGAUAUCAGGAGGAACACCUGUGGUGUAGACAGCUUACUGGACCAUAACUGACGCUGAGGCACGAAAGCGUGGGUAGCAAACAGGAUUAGAUACCCUAGUAGUCC
This 756-nucleotide ribosomal RNA is filed under the name uncultured bacterium. RNAcentral's name for it is "bacterial SSU rRNA". It matches the Rfam family "Bacterial small subunit ribosomal RNA", at positions 8 to 796 of the family's 1533-position model. The record is from RNAcentral.